This is an RNA transcript of Oncorhynchus nerka (sockeye salmon), 2204 nucleotides long. It is a transcript of the gene named small acidic protein-like, with no coding region annotated. NCBI's taxonomy places the organism in Eukaryota, Metazoa, Chordata, Actinopteri, Salmoniformes, Salmonidae. The record is from RefSeq and is a predicted model, not a curated record. The transcript has 2 exons.
CGGAAGUAAAAUUGGAGGAAGGUUUGUUUUGAAUUUGCAAUAUGCUCGCUCCUUACGUGGAUUUUAGACGCAGUUAACGGAAUACCUAAGUCUCAGUCCACUGAAAAUGGCAAAAUUACAGUCUUUGAGUGUGUUUGUUAAUACGCGUUUAACAGUGGCUACCGUAGAGAUUAUGGGGGCAGUAGAGAAAGUGGUAGCGGAGUACCAGGAGGAGAUUUCCCGAUCUAAAGUGGAGAAUGACCGGCUACGCAGACUGCUGCGGAUCAGACCGGAGAUGAAACGAUGUAGAUUAGACUCCCUCCAGUUCUCGCUUACCGUCUCUGAGGAGGAGGUUAACCCUGUGCAGCAGCAAUGUGACCAGGAGGAAUGGAACUCCAGUCUGGGGACGGAUGACACCGAGCCCAUGCAGAUUAAAGAGGAAAAUGCGGAAGUCGGGACCACUCAGGUGGCAGGGCAGCUUCAAGGGCUGGAGCCUGACAUUGUAGAGUUCAUGUUCACUCCUUCCUGUGUGAAAAGUGAUUGUGAUCAGGACGACCUACUUCAGUCCUUGACUCUUUCCCAAACCACGACUGUGGAGAACAGAGAGAGUGACUCUAAAAAAUUGGAUCUCAAACCUUUUGGCACAGUGACCCACCUCGACAAUCCUUAUGACCCUCGAGAUAAUCAAGACAAUGUCUCCAGCCACAGCUCAGCUGCAAGCAGUGAUCUAGUAGGAUUUGACAUAAGCCCACCAUUGGAUCCCAACCCACCAUUGAGGAAACCCAGCACCACAUCUAAAACACAUGACUGUGGGAAAAUAUUAAAUUGCAAGGAGAGCCUGAACAGGCAUAUGCAGACCUCCACAGGAGAAAAAUCAUUUAGCUGUAAUAACUGCAGGAAAAGCUUCAGUCGCAAGGAUACCCUUAACAUGCAUAUACGGACUCACACAGGAGAGAAACCUUUUGUCUGUGGUGAUUGCGGGAAAAGCUUCAGACAGAAGGCUACCCUUAACAGGCAUAUACGGACUCACACAGGAGAAAAACCAUUUAGCUGUGGUGUCUGCGGGAAAAGCUUCAACCAUAAGGGAAACCUAACUGUUCAUUUACUGACUCACACAGGAGAGACACCUUUUACCUGUGGGGACUGCGGGAAAAGCUUCAGACAGAAAUAUAGCCUUAAAAAGCAUACAUCGACUCACAUAGGAGAGACAUUUAACUGUGCUCACUGCGGGAUAAGCUUCAGACACAAAGUGAACCUGGAUAGUCAUAUACUUGCCCUCCACAAAUAAACAAAACAGAAUGAAAACAAAAAGAAGAAAAUGUAACAAAGAUCUGGCAGGAGUUGGUAAUACAAAUGCAGGAUAUGGACAUCACUGUUAGGAAAGCAAAUAAAUUCUAGAUCACUCAUGUUUUAGGUUUAAGGUAUUUACUUUUGUAAAAUGUUCUAUGUAAAUAAAAUGUUAUUCGAAUUACGAUAUUAUGAUCAAACAGUUAAAAAGGGCAAUGGAAACACUUUAGGAAGUAAAUAUAAGCAAAGAUAUGUAAUCAAUCAACUAAUAUCUUGCAAUAAUUUAACAUAAAAACAUCUCUGUAUUUAGUAUUUUGAUCUUCGAGGUUAAUUUGAGCUAUGGUCGGCGCCAUUUUUAAUUGCCAAGUAACGACUGACGCCAGUGCGUCACUGGCAGGAAUCAGUAAAUUGUCUGGUAUUGAAUUUUCGCGCGGAGAGUGAAUCGAAGAGUACAAGGACAUGAUGACAACAACAAUUAGUAAUUCAGACACUGUAUAGCGCCAGGCUGUACGAAUUGGCUCCAAUAAAUAAAAAAAUAUCGGGUAGGUACCAUCGGCUGUCCAAGGACCUUUUGAACACGUGGCUCCAUGUCCUAAAGAAAGGAAGGACGUGCCAGCUCGAGCUAGCAAGGUCUGCAGGCAGCACUUCGCCGAGAAGGACUUUGCUACGAAGGGCACGUUCGAUGCGGCAACCGGGAGUUUCAGAAUGUAAAGGAGUCCUAAACCUACGUCGAAGCCCUCUACUUGCCCCUCCAGCUUAAAUUUCGAGGGUUAUGGUGUACAGUAGGGGUUACCGACCGACCAUCAUCAACAUCGCUGACUUCGGAGUCAAGCCAAACGUCGGACUGAGGCGACGAUGGACCUACUCCAUGGGCAGCUGCAGAUCUGGGGGACAACGAGAGGAAGCAGAAGUUUUUGAGGUUGAUGGGCGCAGGGAAG